GUGCCAGCCGCCGCGGUAAUACCGGCAGCCCGAGUGAUGGCCGAUCUUAUUGGGCCUAAAGCGUCCGUAGCUGGCUGCGCAAGUCCGUCGGGAAAUCCACUCGCCCAACGAGUGGGCGUCCGACGGAAACUGCACAGCUUGGGACCGGAAGGCUCGAAGGGUACGUUCGGGGUAGGAGUGAAAUCCUGUAAUCCUGGACGGACCGCCGGUGGCGAAAGCGCCUCGGGAGGACGGACCCGACGGUGAGGGACGAAAGCCAGGGUCUCGAACCGGAUUAGAUACCCGGGUAGUCC
RNAcentral lists this ribosomal RNA (293 nucleotides) under uncultured bacterium. RNAcentral describes it as "partial 16S ribosomal RNA". It matches the Rfam family "Archaeal small subunit ribosomal RNA", at positions 455 to 747 of the family's 1478-position model. The record is from RNAcentral.